This 379-nucleotide unclassified non-coding RNA is filed under the name Hevea brasiliensis (rubber tree). Lineage: Eukaryota; Viridiplantae; Streptophyta; Magnoliopsida; Malpighiales; Euphorbiaceae. The record is from RNAcentral.
CCUAUGGAGAAUGAGUUGGAGUUUAUAAGUUUUUAGAGAAUAUUUGGUGGCAAAAUUAUGUGUGCAAGAAAGGUAAAUAUUUUGAUGUAAAUUGUUUUGUUAAAAAGGAGUGAUUCUCCACAUUUUUAACAUGAAAUUUAGCAACUUUUUGUAAGUGUUAGAUGCACUAUUUGUUGACUUGAAGAAGGCUUCCCUUUGCCUAUAAAAAGGAGAUUGAUGAGUAGAUAAGGGUGUGGGAGUUCAGUGUUGAUGGAGUGUUGAGAGAAUGAAGAAGAAGAAAUAUUUGUUUAGUGUUUGUAUUGUUUCUGUUUUAUCAAUGAAGUUCAUUUUUUUUUUCUCCAUCUUUAAUCUCUCUUUUGUUGUGUUAUUGUGAAGCAUU